AGAUUGAACGCUGGCGGCGUGCCUAACACAUGCAAGUCGAGCGGUAACGCGGGAGCAAUCCUGGCGACGAGCGGCGAACGGGUGAGUAAUACUUCGGAAUCUACCCACGGGUGGGGAAUAACCAGCCGAAAGGUUGGCUAAUACCGCAUACGACCGAGAGGUGAAAGCGGGGGACCGAAAGGCCUCGCGCAGCAGGAUGAGCCGAUGUCCGAUUAGCUGGUUGGUGGGGUAAAGGCCUACCAAGGCGACGAUCGGUAGCUGGUCUGAGAGGAUGAUCAGCCACACUGGGACUGAGACACGGCCCAGACUCCUACGGGAGGCAGC
RNAcentral lists this ribosomal RNA (324 nucleotides) under uncultured prokaryote. RNAcentral describes it as "bacterial SSU rRNA". It matches the Rfam family "Bacterial small subunit ribosomal RNA", at positions 26 to 352 of the family's 1533-position model. The record is from RNAcentral.